Molecule: ribosomal RNA, 509 nt
Filed under: uncultured bacterium
Lineage: Bacteria
Description: partial 16S ribosomal RNA
Rfam family: Bacterial small subunit ribosomal RNA
Source: RNAcentral
UGGGGAAUUUUGGACAAUGGGCGCAAGCCUGAUCCAGCCAUGCCGCGUGCGGGAAGAAGGCCUUCGGGUUGUAAACCGCUUUUGUCAGGGAAGAAAUCUUCUGAGUUAAUACCUCGGGAGGAUGACGGUACCUGAAGAAUAAGCACCGGCUAACUACGUGCCAGCAGCCGCGGUAAUACGUAGGGUGCAAGCGUUAAUCGGAAUUACUGGGCGUAAAGCGUGCGCAGGCGGUUUUGUAAGACAGAGGUGAAAUCCCCGGGCUCAACCUGGGAACUGCCUUUGUGACUGCAAGGCUUGAGUGCGGCAGAGGGGGAUGGAAUUCCGCGUGUAGCAGUGAAAUGCGUAGAUAUGCGGAGGAACACCGAUGGCGAAGGCAAUCCCCUGGGCCUGCACUGACGCUCAUGCACGAAAGCGUGGGGAGCAAACAGGAUUAGAUACCCUGGUAGUCACGCCCUAAACGAUGUCAACUGGUUGUUGGGAAGGUUCCUUCUCAGUAACGUAGCUAACGC